This 515-nucleotide ribosomal RNA is filed under the name uncultured bacterium. Its description in RNAcentral is "partial 16S ribosomal RNA". It matches the Rfam family "Bacterial small subunit ribosomal RNA", at positions 28 to 523 of the family's 1533-position model. The record is from RNAcentral.
GAUGAACGCUGGCGGCGUGCCUAAUACAUGCAAGUCGAGCGAAUGGAUUAAGAGCUUACCCUUAUGAAGUUAGCGGCGGACGGGUGAGUAACACGUGGGUAACCUGCCCAUAAGACUGGGAUAACUCCGGGAAACCGGGGCUAAUACCGGAUAACAUUUUGAACCGCAUGGUUCGAAAUUGAAAGGCGGCUUCGGCUGUCACUUAUGGAUGGACCCGCGUCGCAUUAGCUAGUUGGUGAGGUAACGGCUCACCAAGGCAACGAUGCGUAGCCGACCUGAGAGGGUGAUCGGCCACACUGGGACUGAGACACGGCCCAGACUCCUACGGGAGGCAGCAGUAGGGAAUCUUCCGCAAUGGACGAAAGUCUGACGGAGCAACGCCGCGUGAGUGAUGAAGGCUUUCGGGUCGUAAAACUCUGUUGUUAGGGAAGAACAAGUGCUAGUUGAAUAAGCUGACACCUUGACGGUACCUAACCAGAAAGCCACGGCUAACUACGUGCCAGCCGCCGCCGUAA